GAUGAAGAACGUAGCGAAAUGCGAUAAGUAGUGUGAAUUGCGGAAUUCAGUGAAUCAUCGAAUCUUUGAACGCACAUUGCGCCCUUUGGUAUUCCUUAGGGCAUGCCUGUUCGAGCGUCAUUUAAACCUUCAAGCUCAGCUUGGUGUUGGGUGACUGUCCGCUUCACCGCGGACUCGCCUCAAAAUUAUUGGCGGCCGGUACAUUGGCUUCGAGCGCAGCAGAAACGCGAACUCGGGCCCGUCGUAUUGGCUCCCAGAAGCUAUCUUCACAAUUUUGACCUCGGAUCAGGUAGGGAUACCCGCUGAACUUAAGCAUAUCAAUAAGCGGAGGA
Molecule: unclassified non-coding RNA, 332 nt
Filed under: soil metagenome
Description: partial contains 5.8S ribosomal RNA, internal transcribed spacer 2, and large subunit ribosomal RNA
Rfam family: 5.8S ribosomal RNA (bases 1-120)
Source: RNAcentral